UAUUUGAGGAGAUAAAGAUGCAGUCAACCAGGAGAUUACCAUAUUAUUGCAUCUGUCCCAUAAUUUUUGUUCAGCCAGGUUAGUAUCUGGUCUGGGACAGGUACCAUCAACAUGACCAGUUUUGUUCUUAGCGGACAAGGCAACUAUCAUCUUCCUCUUCCAACCCCCAUAACCACUACCCGAAAAGGGAAUAGGAACAAGGGAAACACCGGGAACAUCAGAAGAGUAAACAAUGAGAGGGCUUGUAGGGUCAAUAGGUGAGGGAUUGGUACGGUUCAUAUUUGUCAUCAGAAACAGAACAACAAUGAUGAGAGGAAAUUGAUUCAAUAUCAGUGAACUACAUGAACAACAAAUUUUCCAGCAGAAUAGGAACAAGUGAAACACCAGGAACAUCAGAAGAGUAAACGAAUAAAGGGCUUGUAGGGUCAAUAGGUGAGGCAUUAAUAGGAUUCAUAUUUGUCAGCAGAAACAGAACAACAGUGAUGAAGAGAAAUUUGGUUCAAUAUCUGUGAACUACACGGUACAACAGAUUUUCCAGCAAAAACACAUGCAAGGUCUUAACGAGAAUGAGAAUAGGUUACCCGACUUCUACGCUACCGGAGAAGAAUGGCCUUCAAAAAUUCAGAGAAAACCCUAGCUUUAUCCAAUGUAAAUCCAACGCUUCUGAAUCCGUCGGAAUCAACCGCGAAAGGUGUCGGAAGUUUACCCUAAACACCACGCUUGAGGAAGGAACAACAAUUCACAGAAAGGGCUAAAAAUAUCUCCGAUUUCACCAACAAAUCGGAAAAAAAAAAUCCAGAAUCACCACCGAUAAUUCAAUAAUACUGGACCGGAAGAACUAAGAACAGAGAGGAGUCAUCCGAGAAGAAGAACCACACUCUGAUACCAUAAAAACAUGAGAAUCGGAGAUGGAGAAAAGAGAGAAAAGGUUCAUCUCUCUCAGAAUCGAUAUAUGAACAAAAUGAAUUAUG
RNAcentral lists this long non-coding RNA (971 nucleotides) under Nicotiana benthamiana. RNAcentral's name for it is "long non-coding RNA (NBEN_LNC032446)". Lineage: Eukaryota; Viridiplantae; Streptophyta; Magnoliopsida; Solanales; Solanaceae. The record is from RNAcentral.